AGAGUUUGAUCAUGGCUCAGAUUGAACGCUGGCGGCAGGCUUAACACAUGCAAGUCGAGCGGAGAGAGGUAGCUUGCUACUGAUCUUAGCGGCGGACGGGUGAGUAAUGCUUAGGAAUCUGCCUAUUAGUGGGGGACAACACUUCGAAAGGAAUGCUAAUACCGCAUACGUCCUACGGGAGAAAGCAGGGGAUCUUCGGACCUUGCGCUAAUAGAUGAGCCUAAGUCGGAUUAGCUAGUUGGUGGGGUAAAGGCCUACCAAGGCGACGAUCUGUAGCGGGUCUGAGAGGAUGAUCCGCCACACUGGGACUGAGACACGGCCCAGACUCCUACGGGAGGCAGCAGUGGGGAAUAUUGGACAAUGGGCGCAAGCCUGAUCCAGCCAUGCCGCGUGUGUGAAGAAGGCCUUAUGGUUGUAAAGCACUUUAAGCGAGGAGGAGGCUACUUUAGUUAAUACCUAGAGAUAGUGGACGUUACUCGCAGAAUAAGCACCGGCUAACUCUGUGCCAGCAGCCGCGGUAAUACAGAGGGUGCAAGCGUUAAUCGGAUUUACUGGGCGUAAAGCGCGCGUAGGCGGCUAAUUAAGUCAAAUGUGAAAUCCCCGAGCUUAACUUGGGAAUUGCAUUCGAUACUGGUUAGCUAGAGUGUGGGAGAGGAUGGUAGAAUUCCAGGUGUAGCGGUGAAAUGCGUAGAGAUCUGGAGGAAUACCGAUGGCGAAGGCAGCCAUCUGGCCUAACACUGACGCUGAGGUGCGAAAGCAUGGGGAGCAAACAGGAUUAGAUACCCUGGUAGUCC
RNAcentral lists this ribosomal RNA (794 nucleotides) under uncultured bacterium. RNAcentral's name for it is "bacterial SSU rRNA". It matches the Rfam family "Bacterial small subunit ribosomal RNA", at positions 8 to 796 of the family's 1533-position model. The record is from RNAcentral.